AGCGAACGCUGGCGGCAGGCCUAACACAUGCCAGUCGAACGAACCUUUCGGGGUUAGUGGCGGACGGGAGGGUAACACGUGGGAACGUGCCUUUAGGUUCGGAAUAACUCAGGGAAACUUGUGCUAAUACCGAAUGUGCCCUUCGGGGGAAAGAUUAAUCGCCUUUAGAGCGGCCCGCGUCUGAUUAGCUAGUUGGUUGAGGUAAUGGCUCACCAAGGCGACGAUCUGUAGCUGGUCUGAGAGGAUGAUCAGCCACAUUGGGACUGAGACACGGCCCAAACUCCUACGGGAGGCAGCAGUGGGGAAUCUUGCGCAAUGGGCGAAAGCCUGACGCAGCCAUGCCGCGUGAAUGAUGAAGGUCUUAGGAUUGUAAAAUUCUUUCAACGGGGACGAUAAUGACGGUACCCGGAGAAGAAGCCCCGGCUAACUUCGUG
RNAcentral lists this ribosomal RNA (434 nucleotides) under uncultured bacterium. Its description in RNAcentral is "partial 16S ribosomal RNA". It matches the Rfam family "Bacterial small subunit ribosomal RNA", at positions 29 to 507 of the family's 1533-position model. The record is from RNAcentral.